RNAcentral lists this ribosomal RNA (1276 nucleotides) under Phonorhynchus helgolandicus. RNAcentral describes it as "eukaryotic LSU rRNA". It matches the Rfam family "Eukaryotic large subunit ribosomal RNA", at positions 389 to 1464 of the family's 3401-position model. The record is from RNAcentral. Lineage: Eukaryota; Metazoa; Platyhelminthes; Rhabdocoela; Polycystididae.
UCAACAGUGCGUGAAAUUGAUCAAAGGAAAACCGGGUAACGCUGAGGUGGAGUUUGGAUAUUUGCAUUGAGUGGCUACUCUGAGGGGAUGUGGUGUCUUUAUCGCACAGUCUUCGAGGAGGUUUUUCCACUCUGUGUUAUUAUUCAUUCUCGACACCACGAUCAGUAGUUAGGGUGGUCUGGCAUUGGGAGGAAGGUAGCUUGCUUUAGUGAGUGUUAUAGCCUCUCUUUCCAGCACUACUUGAGUACUGUUUUGCGAUGCAAGCCUUUUCGGCGCACAAGGUAGCCUGUGGUGUGAGGUAGCUUUGACAACUCUUUAGAUUUGGCUUAGCUUUCUGAGUGCUACUACGUUACCCUCUGUGUGUUGUGUCGAUAAUCCGUGGUGAUAUAGUAGGCAUGUUACCUGACCCGUCUUGAAACACGGACCAAGGAGUUGAACUUGUACGCGAGUCAUGGGGUCUUACGAAACCUAAAGGCGUAUUGAAAGAAAAGGAUUGGCUUUAGUCGAUCUGAGGUAUGAUCCUGGCUCUGAUGGUCCCUUAGGAACACAGACUGGGCGCAGUACCGGCUCGUCCCAUGCUUUAUUAAGCGGGGCGACGCAAGAGCGUACAGGUUCAGACCCGAAAGAUGGUGAACUAUGCGUGUGUAGGUCGAAGCCAGAGGAAACUCUGGUGGAAGACCGUAGCGAUUCUGACGUGCAAAUCGAUCGUCAAACAUGCGUAUAGGGGCGAAAGACUAAUCGAACCAUCUAGUAGCUGGUUCCCUCCGAAGUUUCCCUCAGGAUAGCUGGCACUCAGGAAACAAUCAGUUUUAUCCGGUAAAGCGAAUGAUUAGCAGUAUCGGGGAAGAAAUUUUCUCGACUGAUUCUCAAACUUUCAAUGGGUGAGAUGCAUGACUCUCUUUAUUGGAGUUGUGCUAUUGAAUGAGAGUGCCAAGUGGGCCAUUUUUGGUAAGCAGAACUGGCGCUGUGGGAUGAACCAAACGUCUGGUUACGGAGCCAAACAUAUCGCUCAUGAGAGACCACAAAAGGUGUUGGUUGAUUUUGACAGCAGGACGGUGGCCAUGGAAGUCGGAAUCCGCUAAGGAGUGUGUAACAACUCACCUGCCGAAUCAACCAGCCCUGAAAAUGGAUGGCGCUGGAGCGAUGGUCCUAUACCAGACCGUUACUGCGAUUUAAUGUAUGCAGUAACGAGUAGGAGGGCGCCGUGGUGAGCAUUGAAGCUUAGACCGUGAGGUUGAGUGGAGCCGCCACGGGUGCAGAUCUUGGUGGCAGUAGC